UGGUGGAGUGAUUUGUCUGGUUAAUUCCGUUAACGAACGAGACCUCGACCUGCUAAAUAGUUUGUGGAAUCUUUCGAUUCUACAAUACUUCUUAGAGGGACUAUCGGUGUGUAGCCGAUGGAAGUUCGAGGCAAUAACA
Molecule: ribosomal RNA, 139 nt
Filed under: uncultured eukaryote
Lineage: Eukaryota
Description: partial 18S ribosomal RNA
Rfam family: Eukaryotic small subunit ribosomal RNA
Source: RNAcentral